UGGCAGGCGAAAAACGAGUCCAGCAAGUUAGAAAAAAUUCCAAGUCUAGUUUUCCGUCAUCGUACAAAACCCCCUCUGCCCAGGAGUUGCUCAUCUUUAGUUCUCAGAAAGAGAGGAGUUAUUUGUACAUACUUUCUCAUCUGAGUAGUCUACAGGUCCUAGCAGACACAACGUCUCUGAUAUUCUCAGAGACCUAAAAGGACAUGGAUAUGAAGCCUCUGAUGAUUCUCCUCCUGCUAGCAGCUGUCACCACCACCGCCCCUGCAGCAGCUCAAACCACCACCGCCCCUGCAGCAGCUGUCACCACCACCACUCCCGCAGCAGCUGCCACUACCACCACUCCUGCAGCAGCUGGUACCACCACCACUCCUGCAGCAGCUGGUACCACCACAGCUUCGGCAGCAACCACUUCCGCUGCUGUCAUAUCAACUGACCCUCCAUCUUCUAGUGAAGGAACAAUGAGUCUUCAGUUCCGUCUCAACCAGACGUUCAACUCAGAUCUUUCCAACCCUUCCUCUUCAGGGUUCAAGACUCUGGCUGCCAAAGUGAUCUCUGAGGUGAACAAGGCUUUUGCUAAGACCCCAGGCUUCCGUCGUUCCAUUGUCAACUCAUUCAGGAGUGGAUCUGUGGUUACCGACAUUACCCUCGUGUUCGACAAUCAGUCUUCGGUUCCCAGCUCAAGCAACUCACAGGCAAUUCUCACCAGCAGUUCCACCUCCCUGAACAUUAUACCAGGCAGCAUCAGUGAUGGGUCAUCAACCAGCUCAGGAAGUGCUCCCCGACCCACUUCUUUCUCUCUGGCUGCCUUGCCUCUCAGUUUGGCUCUGUUAAUGGUACAGCUGCUGGCUAGCUAAUAGCCUGGGACAUAGCUGCUGUGGCUCUGCUAGCUACUAGGCUAGCUAAUAGCCUGGGGCAUAGCUGCUGUGGCUCUGCUAGCUGCUGGCUAACCAAUAGCCUGGGGCAUAGCUGCUGUGGCAUUGGUUUAACCAAUCAACAGUUUCCCAGCUCUCAUAGAUACAGCCUUAAAGCUAGAAUCCUUAGUUGCUACACCCAUUUUUUUACUUAUAAAUUCAUUAUAUCUACCCAUUGAUUCUAGAAGAAUAUAACAUAUGAAUACCUCAUGAGUUUAGAUCAACUGUCGUACCCCAUCAGAACCCACAAUAUGAGCUUGUUUUACCCCGAUGUUUCUAAACAAUGCAAACAAACACUGUACAGCUUUAAAACAUGAUUAAAACUAUAAUUCUGAUAUCAUGGAUGGUCAGUCCUGGCAUCCAUAGCUCUGUCUAUUUUAUUUUACGUGUCAAGUCAGUUAAGAACAAAUUCUUAUUUAAAAUGACGGCCUAGGAACAGUGGGUUAACUGCCUUGUAGCGGGGCAGAAUGGCAGAUUUUUGCUCGGGGAUUCGAUCUUGCCUUUUCGGUUACUAGUCCAAGACUCAUUAGAGCUGUCAAUUUUGCAUGAGGCGGCAGCCUAGUGGUUAGAGUGUAGAGGUGGCAGGUAGCCUAGUGGUUAGAGUGUAGAGGUGGCAGGUAGCCUAGUGGUUAGAGUGUAGAGGUGGCAGCCUAGUGGUUAGAGUGUAGAGGUGGCAGGUAGCCUAGUGGUUAGAGUGUAGAGGAGGUAUAACCGAUAGGUUGCUAGAUCAAAUCUUCUGAGCUGACAAGAUAAACAUCUGUCAUUCUUCCCCUGAACCAAGGCAGUUAACCUGCUGUCAUUGGAAAAAAAUAUUUUGUUCUUAAAUAAAGAGCUGUCAAAGAUACAGAAAUCCCAUGUAGCAUUGUUCGAACACUGGAAUGUGAGAUGUAAUCUACACCUCGAUUAGGUUAUAAUGAUUUUUCCAAAUUGAGCGUCAAUAUUUUCAAAAUAACCUACACACUUCCUCAUUCUGAACUUGUAACGCGAGUAGGCCGGUGUACUUUUCCUGAAAAGAGCUGCUGUUUACCGAUUUGACAGCUGAUUAAAACCUCUUCAGGAGAGUUUCAAAUGUCUCAACUGGUCAAAGAGAGAGACAGAGAGAGAGACAGAGAGAGAGACAGAGAGAGAGACAGAGAGAGAGACAGAGAGAGAGAGAGACAGAGACAGAGAGAGAGACAGAGAGAGAGAGACAGAGAGAGAGACACAGAGAGAGAGACACAGAGAGAGAGAGAGAGAGAGAGACAGAGAGAGAGAGACAGAGAGAGAGACACAGAGAGAGAGACACAGAGAGAGAGACAGAGAGAGAGACAGAGAGAGAGACAGAGAGAGACAGAGA
Molecule: long non-coding RNA, 2247 nt
Organism: Oncorhynchus tshawytscha (Chinook salmon)
Lineage: Eukaryota; Metazoa; Chordata; Actinopteri; Salmoniformes; Salmonidae
Source: Ensembl